CAGAGCCCGAGCGUCAUUGCAAAAAAAAAAAAAAGUAUACCGUGAGAAUCUGCGCUCAUUUGACCAAGUUGUGCACUUGUUUUACUCAAUUAUGAUCUCAUAAGAGUGACAUGACACUGUCAUGAAUGUGUCAUAAACAAGUCAUAAACGUUCAUGAUAUAACGCUUCUGUUAUUAAGGGUCAUUCGGUUUUCGUCAUAAAAAGUUAGGUUUAGGGUUAGGGUGUUAGUUUAAGCUAGUUAGCUAUGUUAGUUUAAGCUCUCGAUCUUUUUAGCUAGCUUACAGGCGAAAUGCUAGUAUUUUAGGACAUUGGAUUACAUUGUAAACCUAGCUAGACAGCUAGGCUACAUGCUGCAACACAGGUAUGAAAUAUAUUAUGUCUUAUUGACCUUGUUGUUUCUAUGAACAUGAAUUGUUGUUUAUAGGCAACAUCAAGUCAACAUCAUCUUAAUCGAGGCAUAAAGACCCCUGGAUAUCUUCAUUAAGUACUUAAACUUAAACUAGCUGAUUAGCCUAAUUAGCUCGCUUGCCACCACUGGCUAGACACUGCAGUCAAAAGGUUAGCGGUUUCGCCGUCACGCCCCCGAGGCGAAGUUUCGCUGGCCGAAAAUCACGAGGUGUUUCGCUGUGUGGAAACCCACCUGGUACUGGAUGCUGACAGACAACCAGAAAAAAACGAUGAACUCUGACCUAGUAUUCACCCAGCUGAAUAUUGCAAAUUGCUACUAUAUUUCAUAAUUUCUUUAUGCAAAUCGUAUUUCGAUCUUACUUCACUGUAUUUAUUUAUUUAUUUAUUUAUUUAUUUAUUUAUUUACACAUUUACCCACCCCCCAAAAUAUCAGACCACUGUACUCCUUGUUUAAUCGUCUAAAAAAGUGGUGAGGUUAUAGAGGCAGUUGGAAAAGGGAAAUGGAAGUUUAACAAGGAUGUUAGAAGACAUAGUUGUGCACUAUGUGAAGUCUGCCAGUCUGAGGCCGGGAUCAGGUCCAGAUAUUACAGAAUCAGCUUCUCAGGUCAAGACAAAUCAAGUCAAGUGGAUCGUUGUUGUUGCUUUGCCUUCCCCUGAUCACUCCACCUGAAUUUGGCAUCUCUGCAUUCCCCACUGAACAGCCAUGGCUACAACUGGAGAUGAAACUACUGGGCCUUCAUCACCUCAUGGAGAGGCACUGUUAAUGUGACGUACACCAACAAGGAUUCCCGGGACACUGAAAGAC
Molecule: long non-coding RNA, 1213 nt
Organism: Alosa alosa (allis shad)
Lineage: Eukaryota; Metazoa; Chordata; Actinopteri; Clupeiformes; Clupeidae
Exons: 4
Source: RefSeq, a predicted model, not a curated record